Molecule: long non-coding RNA, 3315 nt
Filed under: Homo sapiens (human)
Lineage: Eukaryota; Metazoa; Chordata; Mammalia; Primates; Hominidae
Description: long independently transcribed non-coding RNA 987, transcript variant 4 (LINC00987)
Source: RNAcentral
CAGCUGCCCGCUUGCCCGUAGCUGACUCAGCUCCCUCAUCUUCAUCUCCAUCCUCUUCCUCACCAUCACCUUCUUCCUCCCCACCUUCUUCCUCUUCUUCAUCUACCUCGUUGUCAGCCUCCGGCUCCCCAUUUUCCUCAUUAGCAUUCCCGUGAGCAGGGGCGUCUCUUCCAUUUUCCGCCUCUUCCACAACUUCCUUCUUCUCCUUUAAGUCCUCGGUGGUGAUUUCGGAGCUGGUGUCUACGGCUGCGUCUGACAUGGUGGGGCACGCCGGUGACGCGAUGCAGGGGAUAAAAAAGAAAGCGACAGUUCAGGGACUCUGGCGAUAAAGCUGCCGGAGUCCGCGGCGGCGGAGGCGGCUGCGGCGAGCAAGGAGGCUGACGACGCACAAUGCAAAGACGGCUUUUCAGAGCAGCCAGUGGGGCAGGACAAUGUUUUUCAUCAAAUGUCCUUAGAUUUGGAGGAGGUUUCUUCUUUUCCAGUUUCCCCAGUGUAUCCAGUGGUUGUCUUCCUCUUGAUUAAUAUUAAAGGAGGAGAAAAAGUGUGUAUUGGGGUCAGUGCAGAAAACAAAUCAUCCAAGCACACGAAGUGGAAUUUGCUAAUAGCAUUACUACUCACCCAGUGACUUCGGAGUCACAACCCAGGACACGGUUUUCCGCCCAUUUCUACAGACACAGUGAGAUUCUUCAUUCUUCUCUGUUGGAACAGCCAGGAAAGCGGAAGAGACCUCCAGCUGCACAACGACCUGUCCCCCACACCCAACCACAAGUUUAUGAAGGGAUGCAGAACAGCAUGAAUACUGCAAAAGAUGCUCUGUGCAUCAGGGUGUGAAGAGGAUACUGACCCACCAGAAAGAGACCCCACUGCUAGAACGAAUAAGAUGUGCUGAAAGCCGGAGCAUAACUUGGCCAUUCCCAAGAUUUAACAACAAACUAACUACCCAUCAUUAACAGUAAAGCAGAAAGAAAACAAUCAGUAAGAGAUUAUAUAGACCUAAGAGAUGUUACAGACCGAAGAAGAACCUAUGGAGGAAGACAGGAAGAUGAGAGAGAUUUGAAGAUGGUAUGUGGCUGAAUUUGAAGAUAGAGAAAGGAACCGCAAGCAAAGAAUGCAAGAGGUCUCUAGAAGCUGGAAAAGGCAAGGAAAGAGUCUCCCCUCAAGCUCCAGCAGGAAUGCAGUCCUGACACCUUGAGUUUAGCCUAGUGAGACUUCUGACCUCCAGAACUAGAAGAUACAAGUGGUGUUUUAAGGCACUAAAACGAAGAACUAGAAGUAUUGUUUUAAGCCCAUAAAUUUGUGAUAAUCUGUUACAGUAGUAAUAGGCAAUGCAUACACAAGCACACAAAGUAAAAUUUUUCUGUGGUUAUUUUCCAUAUUUUUUCAGUUAUUUUCUGCCUUUUGAAGACAUUAAAGACAUAAAAUGAAUAUGUAUUAGUUUAGGAAUAAAAUUUAAAAUGUAGGAAUGCUAUAAAAGAAGAAAAAAUUUUAACUGGGCUAAAGCAAACCCAGUAUGUCAUCCUAUUACAUCAGCUUCUUCAUCUUUGGAUGAAGAGGUUGGUGACUGUUUCUUCUAAUGUGAGAAUAGCUCCAAAUUGCUAAAUUGUUCAGAAUUUGACAAGAUGAAAGAGGAAAGAAAAAGGAAAUCUUGAAAACAUUUACUGUUUCCUUGUUCAAUGGAUAACACAUGGAUUCCUGAUUGGGAGAUUUUUCCUCUUGCUUUGAUCUGAAGGCAGAAGGAAAUAUAUUCAUUAUUGUUUAAAAGAAUACAUUUUAACCUAACUUUAAAACAUUCAUGAUAUAUUUGUGAACCAUAAUCUUAUUACCCCAACCUAGAAGUUAUUUUGAUCACUAAACUUCCUUUUCAAUAUCUUCAUAUAUGUGUCUUUACAUACUUUAAAUAAAAAAUAUAUAAUUGUAUAACGUUUUAUUAUUUUAUUUAAUAUUUAUCACUUCUAAUAAAUAUAUGUAAAUAUGUAAACAGAAUUUAUGUAUUUUUUCAACAAACAUUUCAAACAUCUACCUUAUGCAAAGCAAUAUAUAGUGAAGGCAGAUAUAAAGUAUAAAUAAGUAUUCUCUAAUAUUGCCUCUAUUUUAAAAAAACUAAAUGUAUUGAGCAUUCUCUAUAUGCCAGGAACUGAACUAAGUAAUUUACUGUUAAUUUACACUAUAAUUCCAUGAAGUAGGUAUUAAUAUUAUCUCCAGGACUAAAGUGAGAUGAUUGACAUUUCUCUUUCCAGAUGAAAUUAGGUAAGUUAUCCAAGGUCAUGUAUCUAGGAAGCAAUAAAUCUAGGAAAUUCAAAUUUAUUGUUAAUUUUUCUAUUUUUUUAUGGAAUUAAGAAAAUGUUAUUUAUAGUUAAUGCUCUUAUACAGAAUUCCCUAUAUUUAACUUUUUCUUCUUAAAAUGACUUAUUUGAGUAACUAUGAGCCUUGGACAUUUUCAAUUUGGGGGCAUUCGUGGGAAUAUUGGCCUCAAAAGUAUCACUCCAAUUUAUAGUCUGCCUGUUAAUAUACCUUUUCCUUGCAAUCACACCAGUCAUGAGCUUUGUAAAAUAAUUAGAAUUGAAUAUUUUUCCAGAAGAUUGUUUAUAAGUUUUAUUUCCUUUUGAAUGAGUUCAUGGUUCUUAGCUUUUGCUUCUUUAUCUACUGAGUUCUAAGAAAACAUUUUCUCUUUGACUAAAAACAUUUUAUCCUAGGCUCUUUCCUCUCCUGCUCAAUAAGUUGCCAUUGGAACUCUGCAAGGAAAAAUUCUAAAAGUUUCAGUGGUGAAUAGAGCAUAAAUGAGAAAUUAAAGCAUUAAUAUUUGUUAGGAAGUAACUUCUCUUCUAGCACAAAAACAAUACAAAAUAUAUUAUUGUUAUCUUAUAAAUGGCAUUACUUAGACAGGAACCCAGCAAUUUUGGAGUCUACACAAUCAGAAGGAGCUACAGUGGGUCUUAUUCUUACCAAAUAGUAGAAGGUUAAUUCUUUUUCAUCCCUGAGAAUCUGUUUAUUCAGAAUGUAGUGUGCUUGAAUCUCCUGGGUUUGUCCACAGGUCAAAGUACCAAUAAUAGGUUUGAGGUGAAUAUAACUCUUGCUUGGGGAAAAAAAAUGCUUUGCAGUAUGAGAUGUUUGCGUAUGAAAUUCAUCAAGCCACCAGUUAUCAGAACAAUUGUUACUCUCUUUGUAUUUGACCUAAUGGAAGAAUAAAUAAGCUGUUUUAUAUAUAAUAUAUAUAUGAUUGCAAAAAUAUAUAAAAAUAUGCAUAUUAUAUAUGUUUGUAUAUAUAUACAUAAAGCAAUAUAAUAAAGCCAUAUAAGAAGGCUGCUUUCUUAAAUA